UACGUAGGGGGCAAGCGUUGUCCGGAUUUAUUGGGCGCAAAGAGCGUGUAGGCGGCUAGAUAGGUCCGUUGUGAAAACUCGAGGCUCAACCUCGAGACGUCGAUGGAAACCAUCUGGCUAGAGUCCGGAAGAGGAGAGUGGAAUUCCUGGUGUAGCGGUGAAAUGCGCAGAUAUCAGGAAGAACACCCGUGGCGAAGGCGGCUCUCUGGUACGUGACUGACGCUGAGACGCGAAAGCGUGGGGAGCGAACAGG
RNAcentral lists this ribosomal RNA (253 nucleotides) under uncultured bacterium. Its description in RNAcentral is "partial 16S ribosomal RNA". It matches the Rfam family "Bacterial small subunit ribosomal RNA", at positions 524 to 776 of the family's 1533-position model. The record is from RNAcentral.